CACUCUUCUCGGCCUCUUGGCUAAGAUCAAGUGUAGUAUCUGUUCUUAUCAGUUUGAUCUCUGGUAUGCUGGACACUGUCCAGCAAUUUGAUCAAAUUGAUUUUUCUCCGGGACUGCGUGCGCUGGCUUGCCAGCGCAACAGUGCUCGUGGUCCUCGGCUUGCACGCUCCAGGGAUCGCGGACCCGUC
This 188-nucleotide small nuclear RNA is filed under the name Emiliania huxleyi. Its description in RNAcentral is "U2 spliceosomal RNA". It matches the Rfam family "U2 spliceosomal RNA". Rfam says of the family: U2 is a small nuclear RNA (snRNA) component of the spliceosome (involved in pre-mRNA splicing). The record is from Rfam by way of RNAcentral. Lineage: Eukaryota; Haptophyta; Isochrysidales; Noelaerhabdaceae. RNAcentral also lists the same sequence under 1 other name.